UAAAUAAAAAUUUGUAUUGAGUUGGAACGUUCACCUGCGUUUGCCGCUAGGGGCGCUGUUCUAACUGCAUACAUAUUUGAGUUA
This 84-nucleotide microRNA precursor is filed under the name Bombyx mori (domestic silkworm). RNAcentral describes it as "mir-2807 microRNA precursor family". It matches the Rfam family "mir-2807 microRNA precursor family". The record is from Rfam by way of RNAcentral. Lineage: Eukaryota; Metazoa; Arthropoda; Insecta; Lepidoptera; Bombycidae.